This 1127-nucleotide long non-coding RNA is filed under the name Homo sapiens (human). RNAcentral's name for it is "long independently transcribed non-coding RNA 710 (LINC00710)". The record is from RNAcentral. Lineage: Eukaryota; Metazoa; Chordata; Mammalia; Primates; Hominidae.
AUUUUCUGACAUUUGAAAAGAUCUGAAGAUACGCCCCUUGGAUGCCUGCAGAGAAGCUCUGGGGCUUCAGUCAAUGACUCAGGGUAGCCACCGAACAUGAUGCUCGGGCAGUGGGUGCCACCUGGACUCCACUCUCCCCUCUCUCUGGGAUCAUAGAGUCCAAGGUGUUCUGUGGCCUCUCGGCCAAUCCCAGCAGCUCAGCGUGCAGAAGACCGAGGAGCCAUUGGAAUUCAACACAACACGAAAUAAUCAACAAAUUCGGGGAAUGUUAAUCUGACCAUCACCAGUUACAAAUGAUGUUUCAUGCUACCUUCUAUUCCUGCCUUCAUAAAUCAAGGAAAAGAAAAAGAGAACAUAUAUCCCCCUACCUUUUGAUUUCCAACAGUCUACUGAGAGGCCAAGAUUAUUUGCAGGGAAAGAAAAGGGGAAUGCCAUCCCCACCCUCUCGCAGCUACGUGCCAGUUCCAGAGCACCUGUUCCCCUCUACUUUGAAAAGGUCAAAAUGUUUUGCCAGUAACUCCCAAAUCAUCUACAGCCAAGGAGAAAAGUGUUUCAAGACAGAGGUGCUCAAUGGUAUCAAAUACUGCCAACAGACCAAGUAAUACAUGCAUUGAAGUGUCUACUGGAUCUAGCUAUAUGAAUUUUUAAUUUAGGACACUUAGGCCAUACUGAAGCAAGGUGACAAAAUGAAUAGCUACAAUGUCUCGUGAAUCUUGGGUUUCCAUUCACCCUGGUAUUCAAGAGAAAUUCUUGCAUCAUGGAAGUUGCAGUUGGAUAGGACUUUCUCAGCUGAACACUGUCAUCUGCCAGAGCUUCAGGCAAGAACCCAGAACAGAUGAAACCCCAGACAUGACAAAAUAAGCCAAAGAAUACCAGGCCAAGGUGUGAAAGGCCAGAUGAGAACAAGCAGCGUACACGAUUCUGUUGCCAACAGAUCUCCCCUAACAGUGUCGUGCACCAAAUUUCCACAGUGAAUGUCAGGAAAAAAUGGCAAUUGAGGUGGGUGGUCAAAAGAGAAGCACAGUCUAUGAUGAAGUCACCCCAGAGAAGUCCUUUUUCCGUUUUCUCCUGAGAAAUUACCAGAAGAAAUUAAAAUCCUUUUGAGUAUUGCAAAAAAAAAAAAAAAA